CCUACGGGGGGCAGCAGUGGGGAAUAUUGGACAAUGGGGGGAACCCUGAUCCAGCCAUGCCGCGUGUGUGAAGAAGGCCCUCGGGUUGUAAAGCACUUUCAGUGAGGAAGAACGCCUGGUGGUUAAUACCCAUCAGGAAAGACAUCACUCACAGAAGAAGCACCGGCUAACUCCGUGCCAGCAGCCGCGGUAAUACGGAGGGUGCGAGCGUUAAUCGGAAUUACUGGGCGUAAAGCGCGCGUAGGUGGCUUGAUAAGCCGGUUGUGAAAGCCCCGGGCUCAACCUGGGAACGGCAUCCGGAACUGUCAAGCUAGAGUGCAGGAGAGGAAGGUAGAAUUCCCGGUGUAGCGGUGAAAUGCGUAGAGAUUGGGAGGAAUACCAGUGGCGAAGGCGGCCUUCUGGACUGACACUGACACUGAGGUGCGAAAGCGUGGGUAGCAAACAGGAUUAGAUACCCCAGUAGUC
This 465-nucleotide ribosomal RNA is filed under the name Vreelandella stevensii. RNAcentral's name for it is "partial 16S ribosomal RNA". It matches the Rfam family "Bacterial small subunit ribosomal RNA", at positions 338 to 795 of the family's 1533-position model. Lineage: Bacteria; Pseudomonadati; Pseudomonadota; Gammaproteobacteria; Oceanospirillales; Halomonadaceae. The record is from RNAcentral.